Molecule: long non-coding RNA, 486 nt
Organism: Nerophis ophidion (straightnose pipefish)
Lineage: Eukaryota; Metazoa; Chordata; Actinopteri; Syngnathiformes; Syngnathidae
Exons: 3
Source: RefSeq, a predicted model, not a curated record
AGCAAGACGAAGAGCGAAGAUUUGAAGCGGAAAUCGAACUAUUUCACUGCAAAGAAAACCAUCGACGUCCAUAAAGAUUCAGACAGCCAGGCUCUCAAAGAUUGGUGGAUAUGACUUAAAGAGCUGUUUAAGCACCAUCAUGGACAGCUACUUUCCUCUUUCUCUACAUAUAUAUUAAAAAUAGGCGAUGUAAGACCCAAAUUCUAAUCUAUGAGUGCUAGAUCGGGAAUUAUAGUAAUGCAAAAUUCCGUACUUUUUGGCCUGCGUGUUCAAUUUCAGGCUCAUGACAUAUGAAUUCAUGUCCAAUCUGAACAUGAAGGGGAGAGGGGAAAAAAAUAGCUUGGCUGAGACGAAGCUGCUCGAUGUAGUCACAGCUAGUGUCUUGGAUACCCAGAAGGGGACCGAAACGAUGGUCCAUGAUGCCAUAAAAAAUAAACUGAAAUAUGCCUCUGGACGGAAGGGAGGAAUAGGAUGCGCAUCACAGGC